RNAcentral lists this ribosomal RNA (496 nucleotides) under uncultured bacterium. Its description in RNAcentral is "partial 16S ribosomal RNA". It matches the Rfam family "Bacterial small subunit ribosomal RNA", at positions 29 to 507 of the family's 1533-position model. The record is from RNAcentral.
AUGAACGCUGGCGGCGUGCCUAAUACAUGCAAGUCGAGCGAACAGACGAGGAGCUUGCUCCUCUGACGUUAGCGGCGGACGGGUGAGUAACACGUGGAUAACCUACCUAUAAGACUGGGAUAACUUCGGGAAACCGGAGCUAAUACCGGAUAAUAUAUUGAACCGCAUGGUUCAAUAGUGAAAGACGGUUUUGCUGUCACUUAUAGAUGGAUCCGCGCCGCAUUAGCUAGUUGGUAAGGUAACGGCUUACCAAGGCAACGAUGCGUAGCCGACCUGAGGGGGUGAUCGGCCACACUGGAACUGAGACACGGUCCAGACUCCUACGGGAGGCAGCAGUAGGGAAUCUACCGCAAUGGGCGAAAGCCUGACGGAGCAACGCCGCGUGAGUGAUGAAGGUCUUCGGAUCGUAAAACUCUGUUAUUAGGGAAGAACAAAUGUGUAAGUAACUAUGCACGUCUUGACGGUACCUAAUCAGAAAGCCACGGCUAACUACGUG